RNAcentral lists this ribosomal RNA (1433 nucleotides) under uncultured organism. Its description in RNAcentral is "SSU rRNA". It matches the Rfam family "Bacterial small subunit ribosomal RNA". The record is from RNAcentral.
UCUUGAUGAACGCUAGCUACAGGCUUAACACAUGCAAGUCGAGGGGCAGCAUGGUCUUAGCUUGCUAAGGCCGAUGGCGACCGGCGCACGGGUGAGUAACACGUAUCCAACCUGCCGUCUACUCUUGGACAGCCUUCUGAAAGGAAGAUUAAUACAAGAUGGCAUCAUGAGUCCGCAUGUUCACAUGAUUAAAGGUAUUCCGGUAGACGAUGGGGAUGCGUUCCAUUAGAUAGUAGGCGGGGUAACGGCCCACCUAGUCUUCGAUGGAUAGGGGUUCUGAGAGGAAGGUCCCCCACAUUGGAACUGAGACACGGUCCAAACUCCUACGGGAGGCAGCAGUGAGGAAUAUUGGUCAAUGGGCGAGAGCCUGAACCAGCCAAGUAGCGUGAAGGAUGACUGCCUUAUGGGUUGUAAACUUCUUUUAUAAAGGAAUAAAGUCGGGUAUGGAUACCCGUUUGCAUGUACUUUAUGAAUAAGGAUCGGCUAACUCCGUGCCAGCAGCCGCGGUAAUACGGAGGAUUCGAGCGUUAUCCGGAUUUAUUGGGUUUAAAGGGAGCGUAGAUGGAUGUUUAAGUCAGUUGUGAAAGUUUGCGGCUCAACCGUAAAAUUGCAGUUGAUACUGGAUAUCUUGAGUGCAGUUGAGGCAGGCGGAAUUCGUGGUGUAGCGGUGAAAUGCUUAGAUAUCACGAAGAACUCCGAUUGCGAAGGCAGCCUGCUAAGCUGCAACUGACAUUGAGGCUCGAAAGUGUGGGUAUCAAACAGGAUUAGAUACCCUGGUAGUCCACACGGUAAACGAUGAAUACUCGCUGUUUGCGAUAUACGGCAAGCGGCCAAGCGAAAGCGUUAAGUAUUCCACCUGGGGAGUACGCCGGCAACGGUGAAACUCAAAGGAAUUGACGGGGGCCCGCACAAGCGGAGGAACAUGUGGUUUAAUUCGAUGAUACGCGAGGAACCUUACCCGGGCUUAAAUUGCAGAUGAAUUACGGUGAAAGCCGUAAGCCGCAAGGCAUCUGUGAAGGUGCUGCAUGGUUGUCGUCAGCUCGUGCCGUGAGGUGUCGGCUUAAGUGCCAUAACGAGCGCAACCCUUGUUGUCAGUUACUAACAGGUUCUGCUGAGGACUCUGACAAGACUGCCAUCGUAAGAUGUGAGGAAGGUGGGGAUGACGUCAAAUCAGCACGGCCCUUACGUCCGGGGCUACACACGUGUUACAAUGGGGGGUACAGAGGGCCGCUACCACGCGAGUGGAUGCCAAUCCCAAAAACCUCUCUCAGUUCGGACUGGAGUCUGCAACCCGACUCCACGAAGCUGGAUUCGCUAGUAAUCGCGCAUCAGCCACGGCGCGGUGAAUACGUUCCCGGGCCUUGUACACACCGCCCGUCAAGCCAUGGGAGCCGGGGGUACCAAAAGUGCGUAACCGCGAGGAGCGCCCUAGG